This 484-nucleotide ribosomal RNA is filed under the name uncultured bacterium. RNAcentral describes it as "partial 16S ribosomal RNA". It matches the Rfam family "Bacterial small subunit ribosomal RNA", at positions 28 to 523 of the family's 1533-position model. The record is from RNAcentral.
GACGAACGCUGGCGGCGUGCUUAACACAUGCAAGUCGAACGAUGAACCCGGAGCUUGCUCCGGUGGAUUAGUGGCGAACGGGUGAGUAACACGUGAGUAACCUGCCCUUGACUCUGGGAUAACUGCGGGAAACUGUAGCUAAUACCGGAUACGACCCUCGGCGGCAUCGCCAGGGGGUGGAAAGAAUUUCGGUCAAGGAUGGACUCGCGGCCUAUCAGCUAGUUGGUGAGGUAACGGCUCCCCAAGGCGACGACGGGUAGCCGGCCUGAGAGGGUGACCGGCCACACUGGGACUGAGACACGGCCCAGACUCCUACGGGAGGCAGCAGUGGGGAAUAUUGCACAAUGGGCGCAAGCCUGAUGCGACAACGCCGCGUGAGGGAUGACGGCCUUCGGGUUGUAAACCUCUUUUAGCACCGACGAAGCGCAAGUGACGGUAGGUGCAGAAGAAGGACCGGCCAACUACGUGCCAGCAGCCGCCGUAA